RNAcentral lists this ribosomal RNA (540 nucleotides) under uncultured bacterium. Its description in RNAcentral is "bacterial SSU rRNA". It matches the Rfam family "Bacterial small subunit ribosomal RNA", at positions 358 to 916 of the family's 1533-position model. The record is from RNAcentral.
GGAAUCUUGCGCAAUGGGCGAAAGCCUGACGCAGCCAUGCCGCGUGAAUGAUGAAGGUCUUAGGAUUGUAAAAUUCUUUCAGCGGGGACGAUAAUGACGGUACCCGCAGAAGAAGCCCCGGCUAACUUCGUGCCAGCAGCCGCGGUAAUACGAAGGGGGCUAGCGUUGCUCGGAAUUACUGGGCGUAAAGGGAGCGUAGGCGGAUAGUUUAGUCAGAGGUGAAAGCCCAGGGCUCAACCUUGGAAAUGCCUUUGAUACUGGCUAUCUUGAGUAUGGGAGAGGUAAGCGGAAUUCCGAGUGUAGAGGUGAAACUCGUAGAUAUUCGGAAGAACACCAGUGGCGAAGGCGGCUUACUGGCCCAUUACUGACGCUGAGGCUCGAAAGCGUGGGGAGCAAACAGGAUUAGAUACCCUGGUAGUCCACGCUGUAAACGAUGAGUGCUAGUUGUCGGCAUGCAUGCAUGUCGGUGACGCAGCUAACGCCUUAAGCACUCCGCCUGGGGAGUACGGUCGCAAGAUUAAAACUCAAAGGAAUUGACGG